RNAcentral lists this ribosomal RNA (393 nucleotides) under uncultured bacterium. RNAcentral's name for it is "partial 16S ribosomal RNA". It matches the Rfam family "Bacterial small subunit ribosomal RNA", at positions 523 to 918 of the family's 1533-position model. The record is from RNAcentral.
AUACGGAGGCUACGAGCGUUAUCCGGAUUUAUUGGGUUUAAAGGGAGCGUAGGUGGACUGUUAAGUCAGUUGUGAAAGUUUGCGGCUCAACUGUAAAAUUGCAGUUGAAACUGGGAGUCUUGAGUACCGUAGAGGUGGGCGGAAUUCGUGGUGUAGCGGUGAAAUGAUUAGAUAUCACGAAGAACUCCGAUUGCGAAGGCAGCUCUCUAGACUGUUACUGACACGGAUGCUCGAAAGUGUGGGUAUCAAACAGGACUAGAUACCCUGGUAGUCCACACAGUAAACGAUGAAUACUCGCUGUUUGCGAUAUACAGUAAGCGGCCAAGCGAAAGCAUUAAGUAUUCCACCUGGGGAGUACGCCGGCAACGGUGAAACUCAAAGGAAUUGACGGGG